This is a long non-coding RNA of Aquila chrysaetos chrysaetos, 4671 nucleotides long. RefSeq lists it as uncharacterized. The record is from RefSeq and is a predicted model, not a curated record. Lineage: Eukaryota; Metazoa; Chordata; Aves; Accipitriformes; Accipitridae. The transcript has 5 exons.
GAUAUAAGAGAAAAACCCAAGCUGAGGAGGGACAGGGAGGAGAGGGGGGCGCAAUUACUUUAGCGGUGCAGUGAAAAUGAUGAGCAGCAAAUGUUGCCUUUUUUCCCUCCUCCUUCUCGUCCCUCCACCCCCCCACCCUCCACCCAAAAAGCAAGUCUUAGAGGAUUUCUCUGUCUCAAUGAAGUAAUAAUAAAGGCGGCUGACCACAGUCUGGGCUAGCGCCAACCGUGCGGGGGGGGGGGGGGAGGAAUAUCCCUGCUCCCAGAGUCCUGAGGAGAAGAGGAAGAGUGGAGGAUUGUUGCAGCACAAGUUCUUGCUCUUGGUGAAAAAAUAUCUCUUCUCUGGAAAUUCAUUUCCAUUUACUUAAAGUUAAAUGGUUUGACUUUGAAUUUUCAUUAUCUGCUGUUGGAAGGAGCCUGUGACAGAUAGGGUAGCCCACAGACUGGCCAUAAAUUGCACCAAAUUGGGAACGUGUUGAACUCUUAAGCGCUGUAGCAUCGUGGGAAGUUUCAUCAUUAAAAAAAGAAGAAGAAAAAUUACUUCCUUUAACUGGACUAAAUCAAUAUUUCUUCCUAAAAUAAUGAAACCAUAUGCAGAUAAAAACUAUCAUACAGGUGAAGAAGAGUCCAUGAGUGGGAAUAAUGCAAAAUAAUUUGACUUUUGAGAGACUGUAAGCUCUUUGAACCUAUUGUUAAAACAGAGGAUGUUUGACAUCAUUGCAAAUCAUUCUGUCUUCCUUUUACUUAUAAGUCCUGGUAUCUGUAAUAGACUGUGUACAUACAUUCAUAUGGUGAUGUUUGGUUAGUAGAACACACACGGCUGGAGUUAAAUUAUUUAAUUUAUAGAGUUUCAAAUAUCUGCUAUCUUCACUAGGUAGAUCUUUAAAAACUGAAAGAAUAUCCCUUAAUAUGGGUUUCAUUGAAAACAAGCAUUUAGAAAAAAAAAAAUAAAAAGGAAACAAAUGUGCCAUAUACAUGCAAAACAUGCUAGCUUGAAUGUACCUGUAUAAUUACCAAACAGUAUUUCUUCAGGUAUGGAGUGCAUUUUGAUGUUGUUCAUUUUAUCAUACACACAUUAUUCCAUAAUCUAAAAAAUAACAUAGCUUUGCAAGAAGAUGGCUAGUGAUUUAUUAUUAGGUUCAGUUAUCCUCUGCAGGAAGAUAAAAUUACUACUAACCUUUCAAAAGAGGUCCAGGGUUGAAACCUCACUAUCAUAUAGAGAAACUAGAAUUUGACUCUCCCAUUAACUUUGCUUAGGUCGGGGGGGGGGGACGACACGGACGACGACAGUAUCUUUGAAUGUUAAGCCACUGGUUUUCAUACAUGAAUAUUCAGAAAUCUAGUCAACCCAAAAUGGAGACCACUGUCUGAGAUGCAGCCCUUGUUUGGAAAGCAAAACUGAGGAUUUCCUGAGGCUUCAUGGUGUGAGAAAAGGAGCUGUGGACCAGUCAAUGCCUUUUUGCACCACUAAGUACUGAAGUUAAUGUGAGUGUGAAUCUAUGUUUCUUUGUUCAGAAUUACUGUAAAUGUUCUCUCAUGGAGAAAUUGCUCAGUCUAAAGAUAAUUAUAGUUACACAGUCGUUCAGGUGAAUUAGUGCAGGGAAACGAAGAAGGCUCACCUCAUCACUAAUGGACACAAGCAGUAUGCAGUGACUGACUCUAAACAUUGGCUGUUCUGAAGUGUCCUAGCCUGGAUACCAGCAAUAGUAUCUGCUUGGAUAGCAGAUGUGUAUGCCCUGCUCACAGCUAAUUAUUUCUGCAGAGUGACAGUAUGAUGGUGAUUAAAAAUAUAUAUUAAUAUAUAUGGUGUAUUAGACCUAUAAAUAUAUCUUGCCUGAUUUAUUUGGUCUGAGCUCAUCUAUAAAUUGUCUGGCUUCUGAAGGAAAAUGGCAAAAUUGUCUUGCAUGUAGAGGGAUAGAUUUCAAGUUAAAUCAGUGGUUACAACAAAAAAAAAUCUAAAUGAAUGACAAACUCUGAAGAGCUCAAACAAGGCAAAUUGUGAUACAUAAAUAUCAGAGGGCAUGUGUAUGCCUUGAACAGAUACCAAACCUGAGAUAUGGAUGGAUGGAAGAAAAAAAAAGGUUCAGAUCACAUUUUCCCUCUGAGAAACCAAGAGCAGCAGCAUUCUAGUGCAGCGUAGUGGUUAGAGCUGCAACACACCUUAUUCAGUCAUGAAUUUGAGUAAUAAUUGAGUUGUAGUCUAUUUCAAGCAAGCAAGCAAAAGCAAGCAUGCUCGUCUUCCCCCAAUUAUCUCCCUUGUCAGUUUAAUUUCUUGGAAGAAUUCUGUAGUUUCCUAAAAAAAUUAACCAAACAAAACCAAACAAACAAUAAAACCACUUUAAAAAAAUCCAAACAAAAAAACCCCAAUCCCACACAAAACAAAGCAUCACACACACACAAAAAAAGCAUAAAUAUUUUGAGUAUAUCAUAUUGGAAUUUUCAUAUGACUUUCAUGAAGGACAAGGAGGAGUGCAGAUCCAUUUGUUUUCAAAAAUGUCAUUCUGGUUUUUUCAUAUUUCCCCUACCCCCCCCCCCCCCCCCCCCCAAAAAAAAAAAAAGGUUAUAAAAGGGUACUAGCAAACAAGUCUGCAAGAUGCUUCUUUCUUUCAUGUGAGGUAAUAUUCAGUACUGCUUAUGUGGAGUCAACACACUACAACCACAAGAAACAAGUUUUCACUCAAGUAUCUUGAGAUUCACUUUUGUCUUUAUGAAGUAUUUAUUUAAACAUUUGGCCUUGAAAGUAUGAUAGUGGAAUCAGUGGUCUAAUGCUGUAAAGAAUGAGUAUUAAAGUGAAUUGAGAAUAAUUUUUAAUAGUAUUUCAUUGAAGUCAAUGGGCCAACAUCACGCGAAGUGAGUCUCAUUGAAGUUGUGAAGAUUAAUUUUUUAUUUCAAGCCAUUGAAGUCAAAGGGAACAGGCUACAGAAAGUUAACCCCACACAGUGCAACUACAUUCAAUGCAGCCUUAUCUUGUGGAUUAAAAAAAGACUUUAUGAGAUUUGUGUAUCAUCGCUUUCACACAAUGUAUUAAAAAAAACCAACAGAGUAGUAUCACAGAGGCUGGUGGAGUGACUGUAAACAGACGUUGCAGCUAGGCUUUUAGUAUAGUUGUACAAUACCAUUUAACAGCACAGCUCACAUAAUACUACAGCGUGUUUUCAAGAGAGAAAUGUUAGGCAAGAUAUCACACAUCCUAUACACUUUGAACAGUGCCUCAAACUCUUGCUAGAUAGCCAAGAGAAUCAGACUGAAGAAGUCUGAUGUCUCAUGCAAAGGGUAGCAAUUUUAAAAAAAAAAAAAAAACAACCAAAAAAAACCCCAAACAACAAACCAAACCAAAACCAACACAUUCACUGCCUUUCUCUCCCAAAAAUGAAAGAAACAAGUCUUCUGCCAUGAGAGCAAGAACACCUUCACUUCAGGCAACAUUUACAGGGUUUGCAAUAUUUGACUAACAGAGAAUAAAUUUAGCUACUUAUCAUCAGGAAAAGGAUUCUUCAACAUUUUUUUAAACUUAAAUUUAAUCACAAUUAACUUCUAAAAUAUUUAGAUAUGAAAUCAUGUGAAACCAGCAGAUGCACAACUAGAUCCUACUAUGUUUUGUACGAGUUCAGAGUGAGAGACUUCCUUUGCUUUACCAUUUCAUGGAUGCUGUCAUUCCCCAAACACUUACCACUGUAUAAUCACAUUACAGUAGAAAACAAUGUCAAUGGACAAAUAUUAUACACAAACAUGAAUUAGAUAUAUAGAGGUAUACAAAUAGUUCAAAGUGAUUACAUAUUGUAUAAUUGAUGUGCAGUUUGGUUUUUUGUUGAUGUUUUAUUCUCCACAACUCUAAAAAGUUCUCUGUGCUCUAGAUCUAUUUCCCAUUGAUUAAAAAUGAUACUGUAGACUUUUUAAAUUUUAAAGUAUAAGUACAGCAAUUGCAAGUUUCAUUGAAUGCUUAAUUCUUUAUAUUCACGAGUGUCUUUGCAGCUCAGAAUAAUUCUGUAAUCGUGGAACACCUGGAGUGAAAGUAUUACUUAAUGUCGCAUCAACACUGGGACAAAGGACAUGAAGCCAACUUAGUUGGUGUAUAUAGGGUAACAAAAGAUAAACAAAGUAUGUGCAACCCAGUCAAUAUAGUACUUUAAGUCAGCCCACGUAGAUUAGCUUAAGUAGUCUCAAACCUAUCCUCCGAAACUCCAGGUGGGCAAUGAUGAGAACAAAGCAGCAAAACGCUAAAUGUCCUCUCUUUCAAGUGUAAUGGAUGAUUUUGUUCAUUCUGCCUUAGCUGCAGCAAAUCAGGUAUCUCAGUAUAGAAGACAUUUAUGUAACUUUAAAGUUGCACCAGCAUAUAAAAUGCUUUUCAGGUCAGCUUGGAAAUGUUGGCUCCUGACCAGCUACACUAGUACAAUGCUCUGUUACACUGCUCACACUGAAUUGUGCAGAAUUUUUUUCUACCCUUACAUGGCCUUGUGAUGCACCUUCAUAGAAACAGAUAGUUGCAAGGGAAUGGCAUUCUUUCUACUUGUUUAUCUUACAAAUUCACUUAGAUUCUUGUCAUCAUAAAAUUGGUAAUCCAAAUCUUUCUCAAAGUCUUAAAAAAAGAAAAAAAAAAAAAAGAACUAUACUGUGUAUCUGGAGAUAUUCUCAAAAAUCUCUCUUCAUAGAGCAACAUGGAGUUAUUGAAAAA